GGUAUGACCUAAAUCAAAUCUCAUGAUUAUACAGUGGGGGUGGCAAAUAGAUCCAAGGGAUUAGAUCUGGUAGACAAGAGUACCUAAAGAACUAUGGGCAGGGUACAUAACACUGUACAGGAAGUGGUGGUCAAAACCAUCCCCAAGAAAAAGAAAUGUUAGAAGGCAAAAUAGUUGUCUGAGGAGGCCUGACAAAUAGCUGAGAAAAGAAGGGAAGCUAAAGGCAAAGGAGAAAGGGAAAGAUAUACCUAACUGAAUGCAGAGUUCCAGAGAAUAGCAAGGAGAAAUGAGAAAGCCUUCUUAAGUGAACAAUGCAAAGAAACAGAGGAAAACAAUAGAAUGGGAAAGACUAGAGAUCUCUUCAAGAAAAUUAGAAAAAUAAAGAAAAUUAGAGAUACCAAGGGAACAUUUCAUGCAAAGAUGGGCACAAUAAAGGACAGAAAAGGCAAGGACCUAACAGAAGCAGAAGAGAUUAAGAAGAGGUGGCAAGAAUACACAAAAGAACUAUACAAGAAAGGUCUUAAUGACCUGGAUAAUCACAAUGGUGUGAUCACUCAUCUAAAGCCAGACAUUCUAGAGUGCGAAGUCAAGUGGGCCUUAGGAAGCAUUACUACGAACAAAGCUAGUGGAGGUGAUGAAAUUCCAGUUAAGCUACCUCAAAUCUUAAAAGAUGAUUCUGUCAAAGUGCUGCACUCAGUAUGCCAGCAAAUUUGGAAAACUCAGCAGUGGCCACUGGACUGGAAAAUUUCAGUUUUCAUAUCAAUCCUAAAGAAGGGCAAUGCCAAAAAAUGUUCAAACUAUGGCACAAUUGCACUCAUCUCACACUCUAGCAAAUGAAUGCUCAAAAUUCUCUAAGCUAGGCUUCAACAGUACAUGAAUUGAGAAAUUCCAGAUGUACAAGCUGGAUUUAGAAAAGGCAGAGGAACCAGAGAUCAAAUUACCAAUAUCCAUUGGAUCAUAGAAAAAACAAGGGAAUUCCAGAAAAACAUCUGCUUCAUUGACUACGCUAAAGUCUUUGUGUAGAUCACAACAAACUGUGGAAAAUUCUUAAAGAGAUGGGAAUACCAGACGACCUUACCUGCCUCCUGAGACACCUGUA
Bos taurus (domestic cattle) is the source of this 1099-nucleotide long non-coding RNA. The record is from Ensembl. Lineage: Eukaryota; Metazoa; Chordata; Mammalia; Artiodactyla; Bovidae.